RNAcentral lists this ribosomal RNA (403 nucleotides) under uncultured bacterium. Its description in RNAcentral is "partial 16S ribosomal RNA". It matches the Rfam family "Bacterial small subunit ribosomal RNA", at positions 30 to 526 of the family's 1533-position model. The record is from RNAcentral.
AUUGAAAUCUGGCGGCAGGACUAAAACAUGCAAGUCGAGCGAGCGGCGGACGAGUGAGUAAUGUAUGGGGACUGCCCGAUAGAGGGGGAUCACUACUGGAAACGGUGGCUACUACCGCAUAAUGUCGGAUAACCCAUAUGGGAUUAGCUAGUAGGUAAGGUAAUGGCUUACCUAGGCGACGAUCACUAACUGGUCUGAGAGGAUGAUCAGCCACACUGGGACUGAGCCACGGCCCAGACUCCUACGGAGGCAGCAGUGGGGAAUAUUGCACAAGGGGCGCAAGCCUGAUGCAGCCAUGCCGCGUGGAUGAAGAAGGCCCUAGGGUUGUAAAGUACUUUCAGUCGGGAGGCGUUACCGACAGAAGAAGCACCGGCUAACUCCGUGCCAGCAGCCGCGGUAAUUC